UACGAAGGGGGCGAGCGUUGUUCGGAUUUACUGGGCGUAAAGGGCGCGUAGGCGGCGGACCUUGUCGAGUGUGAAAGCCCCGGGCUCAACCUGGGAGGUGCGCUCGAGACGGGUUUGCUGGAGUUCGGGAGAGGAGAGUGGAAUUCCCAGUGUAGAGGUGAAAUUCGUAGAUAUUGGGAAGAACACCGGUGGCGAAGGCGGCUCUCUGGACCGAGACUGACGCUGAGGCGCGAAAGCGUGGGGAGCAAACAGG
This 253-nucleotide ribosomal RNA is filed under the name uncultured bacterium. Its description in RNAcentral is "partial 16S ribosomal RNA". It matches the Rfam family "Bacterial small subunit ribosomal RNA", at positions 524 to 776 of the family's 1533-position model. The record is from RNAcentral.